GCAGGAUUUAGUUUAGUUGAAAAUGAUGGGUUGUUGCCCUAGAGAGAUUUGUUCUG
RNAcentral lists this transfer RNA (56 nucleotides) under Oxyuris equi. Its description in RNAcentral is "tRNA-Asn". The record is from RNAcentral. Lineage: Eukaryota; Metazoa; Nematoda; Chromadorea; Rhabditida; Oxyuridae.